ACGGAGGAUGCAAGCGUUAUCCGGAUUCAUUGGGUUUAAAGGGAGCGCAGGCGGAUUAACAAGUCAGUGGUGAAAUCCUACGGCUCAACUGAAGAACUGCCAUUGAAACUGUUAUUCUUGAGUAGAGUUGAGGUAGGCGGAAUGUGGCAUGUAGCGGUGAAAUGCUUAGAUAUGCGGAUGAACACCAGUGGCGAAGGCGGCUUACUGGGCAAUAACUGACGCUGAUGCACGAAAGCGUGGGGAUCAAACAG
This 251-nucleotide ribosomal RNA is filed under the name uncultured prokaryote. RNAcentral describes it as "partial 16S rRNA". It matches the Rfam family "Bacterial small subunit ribosomal RNA", at positions 525 to 775 of the family's 1533-position model. The record is from RNAcentral.